UAGUGACUCGCAUAUUGAGAAACUUCCUGGAAAUUUCGAGUGGCUACAUUGUAAUCAAGCUAAAAUUAGAAAAUUAAAAAAAAAUGGAAAAAAAUAGUUGAGCACAGUUUCACACACCAGAUGGAUGGACCAUGAUUAUAUUCCAAGAGUGUUUUCGUCCACAUGGCUUUUCUCUUUUCUCUCUCCGUCGAUUGAGCUCGCUCUACAACUUGCAUGUCUGAUUCAUUUAAUCUUUCUGUUACGUGAGACAGUUGUGGUCAAAAGGAGGUAAAUGACGACGAGUUCGUCGCACAAUGGAUCGUUUCCAACGGAAGAUGUCGAGGCCGGUCCUUCGAAGAGAGAUGUUGGCAGUGGUGAAGACGAUGACCCUCUUUCUGAUCCUUUCGAUAUUUCCCAGACCAAACACGUGUCUAUCAAGGCUCUCAAAAGAUGGAGACAAGCGGCCCUAGUGUUAAAUGCUUCUCGUCGAUUUCGGUACACGUUGGACUUGAAGAGGGAGGUAGAAAAGGAGAAAAGAAGACGGAUGAUUAGAUCCCAUUUUCAAGUUAUAAGAGCCGCAUUACUUUUCAAGUUGGCAGCGGAGCAAGAUAUCGGUAUGUUAAUCAGUAAUAUUGCUUUGCCACCAACAUCUGGUGGUGAUUAUGGAAUCGGACUUGAACAACUUGCUUCAAUGACCAGAGAUCAUAAUUUUGCAGCUUUAGAGCUAUAUGGUGGGGUUAAAGGGUUAUCAAAUUUGUUAAAAACAAACAUAGAGUUUGGAAUUAACGGCGAUGAUAUUGAUUUGUUAGAGCGAAGGAAUUCAUUUGGAUCAAAUACAUAUCCUUUGAAGAAAAGACGAAAUUUCUUGAGUUUUCUUUGGGAAGCUUGGCAAGAUUUAACCCUUAUCAUCUUGAUUGUAGCCGCCAUAGCUUCAUUAGCAUUGGGAAUAAAGACAGAGGGUGUGGAAGAAGGAUGGUAUGACGGGGCUAGCAUUGCCUUUGCUGUUAUUCUUGUUAUAGUUGUUACAGCUACUAGUGAUUAUCGGCAAUCGCUUCAGUUUCAAAUUUUGAACAAUGAGAAGAGAAACAUACAAAUAGAGGUCAUGAGGGGUGGUAAAGCAGUGAAAAUUUUGAUAUUUGAUGUAGUCGUUGGAGAUAUUUUACCUCUUCGAAUAGGUGAUCAGGUCCCAGCUGAUGGAGUCUUGGUUACUGGUCAUUCUCUUGCCAUUGAUGAAUCUAGCAUGACUGGUGAAAGCAAGAUAGUUCGCAAGGAUCAGAAAUCUCCAUUUCUGAUGUCUGGAUGCAAAGUAGCAGAUGGUGUUGGUACAAUGAUGGUAACAGGUGUUGGAAUCAAUACUGAAUGGGGACUGUUGAUGGCUAGUAUUUCAGAGGAUAUUGGUGAAGAGACCCCCUUGCAGGUACGCUUGAAUGGUGUUGCAACUUUAAUUGGCCUAGUUGGGCUCACUGUAGCUUGCUUGGUACUGGCUGUCCUUUUAGGCAGAUUCUUUACGGGACAUAGUACAAACUCAGAUGGAAGCCGUCAAUUUGUCAAAGGUCAGACUGGUGCUACUGAUGCUGUGAAUGGAGUUAUAAAAAUUAUUACAAUUGCGGUUACCAUUGUAGUUGUUGCGGUGCCUGAAGGGCUUCCUUUGGCUGUUACAUUGACCCUAGCAUACUCAAUGCGGAAAAUGAUGGCAGAUAAAGCCUUGGUGCGUAGACUUUCAGCGUGUGAAACUAUGGGUUCUGCAACAACAAUAUGCAGUGAUAAGACUGGGACAUUGACCUUGAAUCAGAUGACAGUGGUUGAGGCUUAUGCUGGGAGAAAAAAAUUAGAUCCACCAGAUGACAGCACACAAAUUCACCCAAUGGUUGUCUCUUUGUUAAGUGAGGGUGCCGCACAAAACACUACAGGCAAUGUCUUUGUGCCAAAGGAUGGUGGAGAAGUAGAGGUUACUGGGUCUCCCACAGAAAAGGCUAUUCUUGCAUGGGCAGUCAAGCAGUUGGGGAUGAAGUUUGAUGUUGCCAGAUCAGAGACCACAGUCCUCCAAGUUCUUCCUUUCAACUCAGAGAAAAAGCGAGGUGGUGUUGCAUUAAAGCGGAAGGACUCUGAAGUUCAUAUACAUUGGAAAGGAGCUGCUGAAAUAGUUCUAGCCUCAUGUACAACAUAUCUUGACUCAAACGGACAUCUGCAAUCAAUUAAAGAAGAUGAGGAUUUUUUCAAAUUAGCUAUUGAUGAAAUGGCAGCGAGAAGCCUGCGAUGUGUUGCCAUUGCAUACAGGUCAUGUAAAAUUGACAAAGUUCCUUCUGAUGAGGAGAGCUUAGACCAAUGGGUUUUACCAGAAGAUGAUCUUGUUUUGCUUGCCAUUGUUGGUAUUAAGGACCCUUGCCGCCCAGGUGUCAAAGAUGCAGUUAGAGUUUGCAAAGAAGCUGGGGUAAAGGUUCGCAUGGUCACUGGAGACAAUCUUGGAACAGCAAAAGCAAUAGCUCUUGAGUGCAGAAUACUUGGUUCUGCACCAGAUGCUAUUGGGCAUACUAUCAUUGAAGGAAAAGUAUUCCGAGAGUUUUCAGAAAAAGAAAGGGAGCAAGUCGCCCAAGAAAUAAUAGUGAUGGGGAGGUCUUCUCCCAAUGACAAGCUUUUGCUUGUUCAAGCACUGCGUAAGGGAGGGGAGGUUGUUGCUGUGACUGGAGAUGGAACUAAUGACGCUCCUGCACUUCACGAGGCAGAUAUUGGUCUUGCUAUGGGCAUUCAAGGAACUGAAGUUGCAAAAGAAAAUUCAGAUAUAAUUAUCUUGGAUGAUAACUUUGCUUCAGUUGUAAAGGUUGUUCGCUGGGGCCGUUCUGUAUUUGCCAAUAUUCAAAAAUUUAUACAAUUUCAGCUUACCGUUAAUGUUGCAGCUCUCAUCAUUAAUGUUGUUGCAGCAGUCUCUUCUGGCAGUGUUCCUUUAAAUACAGUACAGUUAUUAUGGGUUAACCUUAUAAUGGAUACACUUGGAGCUCUAGCAUUGGCCACUGAACCACCCACUGACCAACUUAUGCAUAGAAUGCCAGUUGGCCGAAGGUUUGAACUAGUGGGAACCUCUUAUAACAAAUAUCAUGUGGAGGAAUCUAUUUAUACAGGCCUUUUAUCAAGUUGCUGUCCUCCUUGUGCUCAACUUUUGGGGCACCAGUAUUCUUCGAUUACAGAAUAAAACCAGGGAACAUGCUAAUGACGUGAAGAAUACUAUGAUAUUCAACACAUUUGUCUUCUGUCAAAUAUUCAAUGAGUUCAAUGCUCGGAAGCCCGAUGAAAUCAAUGUCUUCAGUGGAAUGACUAAAAACUACCUCUUCUUGGGAAUAAUUGGAAUGACCUGUGUUCUUCAAAUCAUCAUCAUUGAGUUUCUCGGAAAGUUUACCUCGACUCGGAGGCUCAGCUGGAAGCUGUGGCUUGUGUCUGUAGCAAUCGCCAUUGUCAGCUGGCCGCUAGCAAUUGUUGGAAAAAUGAUUCCAGUUCCGAAGACUCCUCUUUCCUUGAGGCCAAUUCAGCAAUUGCGAAAUCAUGGUUGAGCAAAAUCAUGAAGCAUUUACUGAUUAUAUAACCCAUUAUGGUAGUAGCCAAGCCGAAGUUGCAGUUUCUGAAAGAUCUACAAAUAAUCAGGUUGAAAGGUUAAAAAACUAACCUUUAUUGGGAUCUCCUGAGAAAACUAAUAUCAGUAAAUAUGUAUUGUUAUUCAUUCUUAUAAUUUUUUUCUCUUUAUUUUCAAGUGAAAACAAGAUCAUAAACCAUAUAAAAAUGGAAGACAAUUGUGACUUUAUUACAUGAUUAGAGGUGAUAAUUAAAUUUUGAUUUGUUAGUAUCAA
RNA transcript from Mangifera indica (mango), 3815 nucleotides. It is a transcript of the gene named calcium-transporting ATPase 9, plasma membrane-type, with no coding region annotated. The record is from RefSeq and is a predicted model, not a curated record. Lineage: Eukaryota; Viridiplantae; Streptophyta; Magnoliopsida; Sapindales; Anacardiaceae. The transcript has 34 exons.